This 1917-nucleotide ribosomal RNA is filed under the name Salmonella enterica subsp. enterica serovar Typhi. Its description in RNAcentral is "partial 23S ribosomal RNA". It matches the Rfam family "Bacterial large subunit ribosomal RNA", at positions 1030 to 2925 of the family's 2925-position model. The record is from RNAcentral. Lineage: Bacteria; Pseudomonadati; Pseudomonadota; Gammaproteobacteria; Enterobacterales; Enterobacteriaceae.
GACCGCCAGCUAAGGUCCCAAAGUCAUGGUUAAGUGGGAAACGAUGUGGGAAGGCCCAGACAGCCAGGAUGUUGGCUUAGAAGCAGCCAUCAUUUAAAGAAAGCGUAAUAGCUCACUGGUCGAGUCGGCCUGCGCGGAAGAUGUAACGGGGCUAAACCAUGCACCGAAGCUGCGGCAGCGACACCGUGUGUUGUUGGGUAGGGGAGCGUUCUGUAAGCCUGUGAAGGUGUGCUGUGAGGCAUGCUGGAGGUAUCAGAAGUGCGAAUGCUGACAUAAGUAACGAUAAAGCGGGUGAAAAGCCCGCUCGCCGGAAGACCAAGGGUUCCUGUCCAACGUUAAUCGGGGCAGGGUGAGUCGACCCCUAAGGCGAGGCCGAAAGGCGUAGUCGAUGGGAAACGGGUUAAUAUUCCCGUACUUGGUGUUACUGCGAAGGGGGGACGGAGAAGGCUAUGUUGGCCGGGCGACGGUUGUCCCGGUUUAAGCGUGUAGGUAUGUGUUCCAGGUAAAUCCGGUUCACUUUAACACUGAGGCGUGACGACGAGGCACUACGGUGCUGAAGCAACAAAUGCCCUGCUUCCAGGAAAAGCCUCUAAGCAUCAGGUAACAUCAAAUCGUACCCCAAACCGACACAGGUGGUCAGGUAGAGAAUACCAAGGCGCUUGAGAGAACUCGGGUGAAGGAACUAGGCAAAAUGGUGCCGUAACUUCGGGAGAAGGCACGCUGACACGUAGGUGAAGUGAUUUACUCACGGAGCUGAAGUCAGCCGAAGAUACCAGCUGGCUGCAACUGUUUAUUAAAAACACAGCACUGUGCAAACACGAAAGUGGACGUAUACGGUGUGACGCCUGCCCGGUGCCGGAAGGUUAAUUGAUGGGGUCAGCGCAAGCGAAGCUCCUGAUCGAAGCCCCGGUAAACGGCGGCCGUAACUAUAACGGUCCUAAGGUAGCGAAAUUCCUUGUCGGGUAAGUUCCGACCUGCACGAAUGGCGUAAUGAUGGCCAGGCUGUCUCCACCCGAGACUCAGUGAAAUUGAACUCGCUGUGAAGAUGCAGUGUACCCGCGGCAAGACGGAAAGACCCCGUGAACCUUUACUAUAGCUUGACACUGAACAUUGAGCCUUGAUGUGUAGGAUAGGUGGGAGGCUUUGAAGUGUGGACGCCAGUCUGCAUGGAGCCGACCUUGAAAUACCACCCUUUAAUGUUUGAUGUUCUAACGUGGACCCGUGAUCCGGGUUGCGGACAGUGUCUGGUGGGUAGUUUGACUGGGGCGGUCUCCUCCUAAAGAGUAACGGAGGAGCACGAAGGUUGGCUAAUCCUGGUCGGACAUCAGGAGGUUAGUGCAAUGGCAUAAGCCAGCUUGACUGCGAGCGUGACGGCGCGAGCAGGUGCGAAAGCAGGUCAUAGUGAUCCGGUGGUUCUGAAUGGAAGGGCCAUCGCUCAACGGAUAAAAGGUACUCCGGGGAUAACAGGCUGAUACCGCCCAAGAGUUCAUAUCGACGGCGGUGUUUGGCACCUCGAUGUCGGCUCAUCACAUCCUGGGGCUGAAGUAGGUCCCAAGGGUAUGGCUGUUCGCCAUUUAAAGUGGUACGCGAGCUGGGUUUAGAACGUCGUGAGACAGUUCGGUCCCUAUCUGCCGUGGGCGCUGGAGAACUGAGGGGGGCUGCUCCUAGUACGAGAGGACCGGAGUGGACGCAUCACUGGUGUUCGGGUUGUCAUGCCAAUGGCACUGCCCGGUAGCUAAAUGCGGAAGAGAUAAGUGCUGAAAGCAUCUAAGCACGAAACUUGCCCCGAGAUGAGUUCUCCCUGAGACUUUAGGUCUCCUGAAGGAACGUUGAAGACGACGACGUUGAUAGGCCGGGUGUGUAAGCGCAGCGAUGCGUUGAGCUAACCGGUACUAAUGAACCGUGAGGCUUAACCUU